UCGGACGCUUAACCGACUGAGCCACCCGGGCACCCCAUAUUCUGCAUUUCUAAUGAACUAGCCUCCACCCCAGAUCUUCUCAAGCAGUGUCUUCAUUUUUUGAAAAAAAACAUUUUUUGUAUGUUUUAUUUUUUUAUCAGUAUCUUCAUUUUCACGAGAUCCCUGGUGAUUUGCAUGCAUACUGCAGUCUGAAAAACCCUGGCUCGAGUCACUUUUAGCUGGGUGUUAUUUUUCUCACAUCUGAACACUUAAGAUAGUUGCUGCGACCUCAUUGGGAGCUACCGACUGAGGUUUGUGACUCUUUGGCUCGUGCGGUUUUCUGGCCAUGGGGUGCCCCCUUCUCUCUUGCUUGUUCUUUUGGACAAUCUGGUCUGUCUCUCCCCCUCCCACUUAUUCACAGGCUAACAUGUCUCCUUCAAGACUCAGCAAAGGCAUCACCUCCACCAGGAAGCCCACCUGACUCCCUCCGGGUUGAAUCAGGAGCACUUCCUAGAGCGGUUAGUGUCACGCCUUUUCUUUGCGUGUCUGCUUACCUGAGUCCUCAAUUCAGCCUUGAGGAAAAUCUCUCUCUCCUCUCUCUCUCUCUCUCUCUCUUUCUUUUUUUUUUUUAUUCUUUGUACCCUCCACACCUCUCCUCUGUCUGGCACAACCGCUGAAGAAGUUUCUGGAAGAUGGAACGAAGCGUGCUUUGCUGGCCUGCUGCUCGCCGCGUGUCCCGCUCCCCCCGGGGCUCCGGGCCUUCAAGGCGCUGACAAGGCCUGCAGCCCGGGCGGGAUGAGGGAAUUAGGGGGCCUGCUGGCCCAGCAGCUGUAUCACCCUCCUGUCCCUCCCCCGCGCCCUCCAGGGAGCGCACACGUCAGAAGCAGCUGCUCUCUUUCCCCGGAACAAAUGUCACCAGGCAACCAGCUGGCAGCUGAGCCAGCGGAAGACCCCACAGAGAAGGGCUCCCGGAGCCGAACGCGCUCGGCCUGCCCGCGCCUGUGGACCAUGUGGGUCAGCGUGGAGCGAGCCAGGGAGAGACAGGCGUGGGUCUAGGAGGUGCAGUGUCGACCCUGCAGCUACGGUCGAAGCCGUGAACAUGGGAUUGCUGCCCCCCUGGAGUGUUUGAAGGCAGCAGCCGCAGCCCCACCUUCCUGGCCCCUCAGAUCCCUGACUGCAAUACAGGCAGGGGCUCCCCUGGCAGGUAAGCUCUGUGGUGAUGGUCUAGGAAUCCCUCCUCUGGGCCCAGUCUCCAGGCUGUUCCUCCAGCCCUUCCAAUAAUCUGUGAGCA
RNAcentral lists this long non-coding RNA (1270 nucleotides) under Felis catus (domestic cat). RNAcentral describes it as "lncRNA (ENSFCAG00000053854.1)". Lineage: Eukaryota; Metazoa; Chordata; Mammalia; Carnivora; Felidae. The record is from RNAcentral.